GAAAGCGAUGCUAAUACCGAAUGACAUUUUCAUUGUUUCGGCAUAGAAAAUCAAAGGUGGCCUCUUCAUGAAAGCUACCGUUUGGGGAUGAGCCCGCGUCCCAUUAGCUUGUUGGUGAGGUAACGGCUCACCAAGGCCGCGAUGGGUAGCUGGUCUGAGAGGAUGAUCAGCCACACUGGAACUGACACACGGUCCAGACUCCUACGGGAGGCAGCAGUGAGGAAUUUUGCGCAAUGGGGGAAACCCUGACGCAGCAACGCCGCGUGAGUGAUGAAGGCUUUCGGGUCGUAAAGCUCUGUCAAGUGGGAAGAACCUGUGAAGCGUUAAUACCGCUUCGCACUGACGGUACCACUGAAGGAAGCACCGGCUAACUCCGUGCCAGCAGCCGCGGUAAUACGGGGGGUGCAAGCGUUAUUCGGAAUCAUUGGGCGUAAAGGGCGCGUAGGCGGCCUGAUUAGUCAGAUGUGAAAGCCCGGGGCUCAACCCCCGGAAGUGCAUUUGAUACUGUCAGGCUUGGGUAUGGGAGA
This 527-nucleotide ribosomal RNA is filed under the name uncultured bacterium. RNAcentral describes it as "bacterial SSU rRNA". It matches the Rfam family "Bacterial small subunit ribosomal RNA", at positions 153 to 655 of the family's 1533-position model. The record is from RNAcentral.